Long non-coding RNA from Aedes aegypti (yellow fever mosquito), 177 nucleotides. RefSeq lists it as uncharacterized. The transcript has 3 exons. Lineage: Eukaryota; Metazoa; Arthropoda; Insecta; Diptera; Culicidae. The record is from RefSeq and is a predicted model, not a curated record.
UAAAUGUCAGUAUUGUGUAUAACUUUUGUCGCAGCUGAUCGAACGACAAUAUUAGUCACUGCCGACACGCAGUUAUUUCGAAUUUUUGUAAACAUUGAAAUCAGUGGAUUAAGUUUUGCGGCUCUAGAAGUUUUGUGUGGUUUGGAUGAUAAAUUUUGCUUACAAAUGAACAGGUAU